GUCCUGGAGGCGGUAGAGCUCGGCCAGGAGCUGCAGGGAGCUCAGGGUCUGCUCCAGGCUGCGCACCUCGGGAAUUCCGGGAUUUUCCAGCAGCUUUUUCCACAGGGAAAAGGCUUCGUCCAGAGGCUGGGACAGAGCUGGGGGCACGCAGGGGUCAGGCAGGGAUGGGGGGAGAUUCCCAAAAAAUCCCUUCCCGACCUCCCAGGAUCCCAAAAAAAUCCCUUCCCAAUCCAACAGGAUCCCAAAAAUUCUCUUCCUAAUCCACCAGCCUCCCAAAAAAGCUCUUCCCAAACCAAGAGUAUCCCAGAAAACCUCUUCUUGACUUCCCAGGAUCCGAUAAAAUCCCUUCCUAAUCCAUCAGGAUCCCAAAAAUCCCUUCCCAACCUUCCAGGAUCCCAAAAAUCCCUUCCCAACCUCACAGGAUCCCAAAAAUCCUCUUCCCAAUCCAACAGGAUCCCAAAAAAAGCUCUUCCCAACUCAUCAGGAUCCCAAAAAUCCCUUCCUAACCUUCCAGGAUCCCAAAAAAUCUCUUCCCAAUCCACCAGAAUCCCAAAAAACCUCUUCCCAAACCAAAGUAUCCCAGAAAACCUCUUCCCGACCUCCCAGGAUCCCAAAAAAUCUCUUCCAACCUUCCAGGAUCCCAAAAAAGCUCUUUCCAAUCCAUCAGGAUCCCAAAAAUCCCUUCCUGACCUCACAGGAUCCCAAAAAUCCUCUUCCCAAUCCAUCAGGAUCCCAAAAAUCCCUUGCCAACCUUCCAGGAUCCCAUAAAAGCUCUUCCCGACCUCCCAGGAUCCCAAAAAUCCUCUUCCCAAUUCAACAGGAUCCCAAAAAUCCCUUCCUGACCUCACAGGAUCCCAAAAAAGCUCUUCCAACCUUCCAGGAUCCCAAAAAUCCCUUCCCAACCUUCCAGCAUCCCAAAAAUCCCUUCCCAACCUUCCAGGAUCCCAUAAAAGCUCUUCCCGACCUCACAGGAUCCCACAAAAUCCCUUCCUGCCCAUCCAGGAUCUUCAUCUAUCCCAAAAAACCUCAUCACCCUUCCCAAAAAUCC
This 1048-nucleotide long non-coding RNA is filed under the name Chloebia gouldiae (Gouldian finch). RNAcentral's name for it is "Erythrura gouldiae (Gouldian finch) lncRNA (ENSEGOG00005011628.1)". The record is from RNAcentral. Lineage: Eukaryota; Metazoa; Chordata; Aves; Passeriformes; Passeridae.